This 497-nucleotide ribosomal RNA is filed under the name uncultured bacterium. RNAcentral describes it as "partial 16S ribosomal RNA". It matches the Rfam family "Bacterial small subunit ribosomal RNA", at positions 36 to 507 of the family's 1533-position model. The record is from RNAcentral.
UCUUCCCUCUUUCUUCGUGCCUAAUACAUGCAAGUCGAGCGAACGGACGAGAAGCUUGCUUCUCUGAUGUUAGCGGCGGACGGGUGAGUAACACGUGGAUAACCUACCUAUAAGACUGGGAUAACUUCGGGAAACCGGAGCUAAUACCGGAUAAUAUUUUGAACCGCAUGGUUCAAAAGUGAAAGACGGUCUUGCUGUCACUUAUAGAUGGAUCCGAGCUGCAUUAGCUAGUUGGUAAGGUAACGGCUUACCAAGGCAACGAUGCAUAGCCGACCUGAGAGGGUGAUCGGCCACACUGGAACUGAGACACGGUCCAGACUCCUACGGGAGGCAGCAGUAGGGAAUCUUCCGCAAUGGGCGAAAGCCUGACGGAGCAACGCCGCGUGAGUGAUGAAGGUCUUCGGAUCGUAAAACUCUGUUAUUAGGGAAGAACAUAUGUGUAAGUAACUGUGCACAUCUUGACGGUACCUAAUCAGAAAGCCACGGCUAACUACGUG